UAUUGGACAAUGGGCGCAAGCCUGAUCCAGCAAUACCGCGUGUGUGAAGAAGGCCUUAGGGUUGUAAAGCACUUUCAAUUGGGAGGAAAACCUGCCGGUCAAUACCCGGUAGCUUGACAUUACCUUUAGAAGAAGCACCGGCUAACUCCGUGCCAGCAGCCGCGGUAAUACGGAGGGUGCGAGCGUUAAUCGGAAUUACUGGGCGUAAAACGUGCGUAGGCGGUUCGUUAAGUCAGAUGUGAAAGCCCUGGGCUCAACCUGGGAACUGCAUUUGAAACUGGCGGACUAGAGUUUAGUAGAGGGGAGUGGAAUUUCAGGUGUAGCGGUGAAAUGCGUAGAUAUCUGAAGGAACACCAGUGGCGAAGGCGACUCCCUGGACUAGAACUGACGCUGAGGUACGAAA
RNAcentral lists this ribosomal RNA (403 nucleotides) under uncultured bacterium. RNAcentral describes it as "bacterial SSU rRNA". It matches the Rfam family "Bacterial small subunit ribosomal RNA", at positions 362 to 758 of the family's 1533-position model. The record is from RNAcentral.